RNAcentral lists this ribosomal RNA (253 nucleotides) under uncultured Blautia sp. RNAcentral's name for it is "partial 16S ribosomal RNA". It matches the Rfam family "Bacterial small subunit ribosomal RNA", at positions 524 to 776 of the family's 1533-position model. Lineage: Bacteria; Bacillati; Bacillota; Clostridia; Lachnospirales; Lachnospiraceae. The record is from RNAcentral.
UAAGGAAGGUCCGGGCGUUAUCCGGAUUUAUUGGGUUUAAAGGGAGCGUAGACGGCGAUGCAAGCCAGAUGUGAAAGCCCGGGGCUCAACCCCGGGACUGCAUUUGGAACUGUGUGGCUGGAGUGUCGGAGAGGCAGGCGGAAUUCCUAGUGUAGCGGUGAAAUGCGUAGAUAUUAGGAGGAACACCAGUGGCGAGGGCGGCCUGCUGGACGAUGACUGACGUUGAGGCUCGAAAGCGUGGGGAGCAAACAGG